RNAcentral lists this ribosomal RNA (498 nucleotides) under uncultured Chryseobacterium sp. Its description in RNAcentral is "bacterial SSU rRNA". It matches the Rfam family "Bacterial small subunit ribosomal RNA", at positions 9 to 507 of the family's 1533-position model. The record is from RNAcentral. Lineage: Bacteria; Pseudomonadati; Bacteroidota; Flavobacteriia; Flavobacteriales; Weeksellaceae.
GAGUUUGAUCCUGGCUCAGGAUGAACGCUAGCGGGAGGCCUAACACAUGCAAGCCGAGCGGUAGAGAUCUUUCGGGAUCUUGAGAGCGGCGUACGGGUGCGGAACACGUGUGCAACCUGCCUUUAUCUGGGGGAUAGCCUUUCGAAAGGAAGAUUAAUACCCCAUAAUAUACUGGAUGGCAUCAUUCGGUAUUGAAAACUCCGGUGGAUAGAGAUGGGCACGCGCAAGAUUAGAUAGUUGGUGAGGUAACGGCUCACCAAGUCUACGAUCUUUAGGGGGCCUGAGAGGGUGAUCCCCCACACUGGUACUGAGACACGGACCAGACUCCUACGGGAGGCAGCAGUGAGGAAUAUUGGACAAUGGGUGAGAGCCUGAUCCAGCCAUCCCGCGUAAAGGACGACGGCCCUAUGGGUUGUAAACUUCUUUUGUAUAGGGAUAAACCUACCCUCGUGAGGGUAGCUGAAGGUACUAUACGAAUAAGCACCGGCUAACUCCGUG